UACUGAGGGUGCAAGCGUUAAUCGGAAUUACUGGGCGUAAAGCGCGCGUAGGUGGCUUGAUAAGCCGGUUGUGAAAGCCCCGGGCCCCACCAGGGAACGGCAUCCGGAACUGACAAGCUAGAGUACAGGGAAGGAAGGUAGAAUUCCCGGUGUAGCGGUGAAAUGCGUAGAGAUCGGGAGGAAUACCAGUGGCCAAGGCGGCCUUCUGGACUGAUACUGACACUGAGGUGCGAAAGCGUGGGUAGCAAACAGG
RNAcentral lists this unclassified non-coding RNA (253 nucleotides) under uncultured Halomonadaceae bacterium. Its description in RNAcentral is "contains 16S-23S intergenic spacer region". It matches the Rfam family "Bacterial small subunit ribosomal RNA", at positions 524 to 776 of the family's 1533-position model. The record is from RNAcentral. Lineage: Bacteria; Pseudomonadati; Pseudomonadota; Gammaproteobacteria; Oceanospirillales; Halomonadaceae.